GUGACCCUGCGGUUAAAACCCGCGCGCUGCAGCAUCGCGGAAAACGGGAUUCGCCUCAUUUGAAACUUGAGGAAAAUCUCUAAACACUUUCAUUUUGAUAGAAACCAUUUCCGCCGCUGACGUGCGUCUACGCCCAUCAUUUCAGCUGACACGUUGCUGUAACGUCUCCUCCGUUUCAUGCUCUUUCGAACCCUGUCAGCUGCGGGAAGGAACUUCUAAACUAAAAGCUGGCAAGACUCAGCAGAAAAAAAAUAUCGAAAGCUGCUUCUGCUGCCCCAGCUUCACUCAGGCCCUGGCUGCUCCUUCACUGGUCUACACUGCUGCCUCCUGGAACCACCCACUCUGCAACCAGCCGUGAGGCGUGAGGCUCACUCGGAAGCUCCCGGAACCUGGAGACUGCCCUCACUCAACACUUGAACAAGCAAGGGGCCAGGUUCAAUGAAACACCUGCCCGCCCGGCACACCAGGCUCAAAAGCAAGCAAGCAAGCAAACAAACAAACAAAAUCAAAUCAGGCCUUCACAACUCCCCAAAUCAUGUGUGAGUUUCUACAGAGCAGAAGCCAAAAAUAUAUGUUAUCUAACUAGGUCCUAUUUACAUAUAUUUUUAUGGCUGCUCUAAAAAAUUAUCACAAACAUAGCGGCUUCACCCCGUUUCCCCUGUUGUGAUUAUUACACAUUGGAUGCCUGUAUCAAAAUAUCUCAUGGACCCCAUAAAUAGCAACACCCUGUAUGUACUCAUGACAAUUUUUUAAAAAAGAACACUUACACUUUC
Molecule: long non-coding RNA, 773 nt
Filed under: Homo sapiens (human)
Lineage: Eukaryota; Metazoa; Chordata; Mammalia; Primates; Hominidae
Description: highly accelerated region 1B
Source: RNAcentral